GGAAUCUUCCGCAAUGGGCGAAAGCCUGACGGAGCAACGCCGCGUGAGUGAUGAAGGUUUUCGGAUCGUAAAGCUCUGUUGCCAGGGAAGAACGUCUUGUAGAGUAACUGCUACAAGAGUGACGGUACCUGAGAAGAAAGCCCCGGCUAACUACGUGCCAGCAGCCGCGGUAAUACGUAGGGGGCAAGCGUUGUCCGGAAUUAUUGGGCGUAAAGCGCGCGCAGGCGGCUCUUUAAGUCUGGUGUUUAAUCCCGAGGCUCAACUUCGGGUCACACUGGAAACUGGAGAGCUUGAGUGCAGAAGAGGAGAGUGGAAUUCCACGUGUAGCGGUGAAAUGCGUAGAGAUGUGGAGGAACACCAGUGGCGAAGGCGACUCUCUGGGCUGUAACUGACGCUGAGGCGCGAAAGCGUGGGGAGCAAACAGGA
RNAcentral lists this unclassified non-coding RNA (426 nucleotides) under plant metagenome. Its description in RNAcentral is "partial contains 5.8S ribosomal RNA, internal transcribed spacer 2, and large subunit ribosomal RNA". It matches the Rfam family "Bacterial small subunit ribosomal RNA", at positions 358 to 777 of the family's 1533-position model. The record is from RNAcentral.